Non-coding RNA from Coturnix japonica (Japanese quail), 5518 nucleotides. The record is from RefSeq and is a predicted model, not a curated record. Lineage: Eukaryota; Metazoa; Chordata; Aves; Galliformes; Phasianidae.
GGGGGGGGAAGAAUAUGCGGGUUUAUAAAGGCAUGUCGGGGGGUGUAGUCCUAGAUUGGACAUGUUGGACCAUGGAGGUGUCCAAGAGCCAAUUGAACGUGGCACUGAGGGACAUAGUGAUACAGCAGGGAUGGGCUGAUGGAUGGACUUGACCUUAGUGGUCUUUUCCAACCUUAAUGAUUCUGUGGGCAAAGGCAAACUUUGCAGCUGGGCAGGCACAAGGGCUAUGUUUAAGCUAGGAUCAAAUGUUACCAUUGGAAAUUAUUUUUCUUUUGUUGAUGUGGGUAAUAUUUCAUGUGGAUAUUAAACUCAUGAGCAGAUAGAAAACUUAUAAUUAGUAUCACCUAUCAAACUUGGUCAACGUUGGGACUGAAAUACAUUCUAUGAUUCAUCAAAUAAGUAGUCUUUCUUGAUCAUAGAAUAAUCAGAUAUAAAACUUGUAAAUUAUAAUUUGUAUCACCUAUCAAACUUGGUCAAAGUUGGGAAUGAAAUACAUUCUAUUAUUCAUCAAAUAAGCAGUUUUUCUUCUCUAGUUUUAAAAUCCAUGUUAAAUUUAAUAAGUGUGGAACAAUACAUGCUGUCACAUGGGAGUGCUGACUUUAAUUAUUUGCUUUUAAAUAGGAAAGACACGUAGCCAGCAAUUUUCUGAGAGGAUGCUUCAAGCUAUUUCUUUGUAAAUGCUGUAUAGUCCAAAGAAACCCACGGAAAUCUAAUCCAGAUGAUUCAAGGCCGCUUCUUCAUAAAUGAGCAUCUUAUGAAGCCAAGGCCAUGCAAAGCAGUGUCAAAACAAUAAAACAAUAUAAUACCCUAAACUAUCUAUCUUCUAAGCAACAAUCAGUCAAAGCCGAGUUUGAAACUGUCUGGAAUUCAGGAGCCGGUCGAGAGUGAAGUGGCCGCUGGGUGUCAGAGCUGUACCGACUCCGUACUCAUUGCACGGGAGCUGUGGGUUUCUGCUGCAAGAUCAAAAGGAACAGAGUAGAUGAGGCAGAUGCACCAAUAGAGGGUGGUAGUGACUGUCCCCUUCAAGGUAUAGCCGUGUUUUCACGUUUCCUGUAGGCUCUUUGAAUGAAAAAGACAUAGCUGCCCCUCCAAAAAGGGGAAAGGAUUACUUUAAACGAUAACUGCAAUAAAAGCCCACACAGGUGAUGAAAUGAAGGGUGUCAUUUAUAUAUAUAUAUAUACAUAUAUAUAUAUUUAAGAAAUUCCUCUAUUCUUAACCAUAUUCAUUUAUUCUGCAAGUACAAUAGUGCAAAAAAAUUGUUGGAAGUUGUGGUAGCCUAAAAUGAAUGAAGAUCUCUUGUGAGAGAAAUUAAAUAAGGACAAUAAAUUAACGUAUUUAUGUGGGAAAUGACAUUUCUUCUGAACUUUGUUGCUUCUACUGUAACUGGAUUCUUAAAUCCCUACUUACAGAGCUCAUGUUACAAAUGAGCAAUAUUAGGCUGCAGAAAUUACCUGUCAUAGGUUGCAUGCUCUUUUUGUGCGUAUUUUUUACCUUGGAUUUCCUGUGUCAGCACAUACACCGUGAAAUCCUUUCAGUAGUGCAUGCAGUUUGUCAAGUGUUGUCAUAGCCUACAAACAUAAACAGCCUCAGGAAAUGCUGCUUUUGGCCCUGAAACAGGUGGAAGAUCUUUUUGCUGUUUUUUCUCAGAGGUCCUGUGAAAACCUUUUUUCAUAAGCACGUAUCUUUCUUCACAUUGUCUUGCGUAAGCUCCUCUAAUUUAUUCCCCUCAGUGUCAUAACUAUGGCUCUGCUCCAGUGCAAGAAUAACGCCUUAAUUCUGUGGCCACUAGCAGGCUUUGGGAGUGAUCCUGAGAUGGGGGAAAUGCAGUCACUGGAAGCACUGUUGAAUUUUAAACAUUCACCUCUAGACCAAACACUAGAAAAUGUGUUUUGCUAUUGCUUUGAAAGCAUGAAUUUAUAGUGUGGGUAUACCCAGAUAUCUGAAAGCUGCUUUUAGGGUUGUGCUGCUGAUUCUUAGCCAAGAAGAAGAACAGGAAAGAAGCAAUAGGAAAGGAAGCAAUACUGUGUAUCCUGCCAUUCAAGCGCACACUUCAAACUGUGCGUCAGUGUUUUGGAGGAGAAUAUCAUAUUUUAAAUCAGCCUGCAACAUUUCUCUCUCAUGUCAGAUACAAAAUUCACUGCUGGAAAAUCAUCUUGUCCUGAGGUUCAGGAGAAGUAGCAUUUAGUGCUGGGCAGCAACACGCUCAGUCUUUGAUAUAGUGUGUCUGGAGCUGGGACAGGAGGCUUUUGUACUGAGCAGUUUGAACCUGUUGGAAAUUAAAUGUAAAAAUGAAAAUCCUAAACUUCUUUUAGUGUCAGUUUCAGAACUUUUAGAUUAUUUUUGUUUUGUUUUCAUUUCAUUGUAUCCUUAUGCAAAACUCCUUGAAGUAUUUCUGAAAUAGUAUGUUCUAAAGCACAUUGAUGAUGCAAUCUAAAAGUCUUGAUAAUGUGACCUGGCACUGCACAAGACCCUUCACUAUCAAAAUGAGCAUGUGUAUGACCUGCCUUCAGUGUCCCUUGCCUGGGAGCAGCUUACAGAAUGCAGUGUCUGUCUAGCAGCUUCAGCACUGCACUGCUUGCUUGUGAAUGUUAGCAUAUCACUGUGCUCCUUCUGCAUAUGUCUGAGUAACAGCUACGUGCCUUAGGUCUGCUCUACAGUUCGAUUAGCUGAAUUCAGAAGUUAAAAGCCAUUUCCUAAUGUGGUGUAGGAGCACCGUAAAAGUAGAGUCACAGUAGUAGUCACUAGCACAGUGCUUACAGGUGGGACUCUGAAAUUCCACAAGCUGAGAAAUGAGGAGCAUUGCUACCAGGAGCACAUCUGGGCUCCAGGACAGUCAGUGAUCAUUUGCUAUCUUAGAGGAAAGAUUUGUUUUCCAAAGCCAUUACUUAAGAAGAUAAAAAAUCCCUCCACUAAUAUGAGUCCCCUUCAAGCUGAAUAUAGAGCUUGUAGUGUGUCGGGUGAAUUGAAAUUGCUUGUGUCCACGUGCGUUUUCGUAGUGGGGAAGGAUUGUUCUUUUCAUAUGUUUUGAAAUAAAAUGAAUUGAUAGUAAUAAAUGCAACAAAACUAUAAAAGACUGCAAGACUAUCCAAGAUGCAGCUGUACUCGGACUGAAUUUUUCUCUGCCUUUGCUUCAUUCACUCCACAUAAACUGUCACAGCUCACGCAAUUAAUAAUUGUGUCCAAUAAGGUAUGCAAGAGUAGGAGUGUUGAAAGACAAAUCUUCAAAUAAGCCUUAGAGAAGAUACCAGAAAUUCAUGUGAGCUUAAAUUAGAAGAAAUUGCUUUGAACAUUGAGUAGUUCUGUGUAUCAUGUUACUAUCUUCUUCCAAUGUGCAGGGUAGAGUUAAGGACACAGGAGGUGAUUUUCCUUUUCUGAGUUUGACUCUUGCCGCUGAUUAGUGCAGCUCUCAUUUUUUUAUUUACCAUGUAAGUGUAAUGUUUUAAACACACUGAUUUCUUCAGGACAGUACUUUAAAGUGUGCUCUGUGAAGAAGCCUAUCUGUAAGUAGGUUUUUUUUCCCAUUCCAGCUCCCCUCUGCAUACAUGCACACAUUUCACCUCUCUCUGCAGUAAGCAUGGAGAACAUCAGUGUCAUAAACCUUCCCUUGACAGAAGUCCAGCAUGUGUGCAAGGGUAAAGCUCAUCUGCUAAUGCACAGCUGAAAAAUAACAGCAGGAGAAGUGAGGAGACAGUGGCAUCAGGGAGUCAUCCACUAAUCUGUCUGAUGCUGGCAGAGGGUAUUGUAGUAGUUCAUGCUAAGAGAUGCCAGUCUGUGAGUUGCUCAUGCAGCAGACAGCAAAGGAGAGGGGGGAGGGGAAGCAGUAGUGGCUGUUGGGGAAAUUAAUGCUAUUACAGAAAAAAGAAUCUAACUGUUCCUUCCUUGUGUCUCUAGGAAGAGGAGAGCCAGUAACUGUCAGCUAACCACUUGUUUCUCAACUUCCUCACAUGAAAGGAGAAAUGGGCAUGACCCUCUUGCAUUUAAUACAAAAGAAUAGCUUCAUUCGCCACUAAUAAUGCAAUAUAGUACAUCUCACUUUCAGCUUUAUUGAAAUAUCAUUUUAAAUUAAAUUUAGGGCAUAUAGAACAGAUUUUUUUUACUGUGAAAAAAAAAAAUGCACAUGUUCCAAGGACAUAAGAUAAAUGGCUUCCUGCUCACAGGUUUAUUUCCUGGGAAUAUCUUGUUUGUCAGAAGCUGAACAGUUUGGAAUGUACCAGAGCCUGAGAAUAUAAAGAAAGUAAAUUCAGAUUAUUAAGACUUGGCAAGAAAUAAGCCACUGAAAGGAAGAGAGUUACAAUCAAGAUUGGGCAAGACUCAUAAUGUACGAUGAUAGCCAUCACACCCAUACAUUUUGGCAUGCGAUUUAAGAGCAUGAGAGAGAACUGUUGAUUUUGGAAAGCAAACAUAUGCAAGGAGUGCAAGGAGUGCAGCAGAAAGAUUUUAUCUGUUUUAGAUGUAGCCAUUCCCCACACCUCAGCAUCACGCAGACUGAGAAACCUUGAACUGGAUAGAAUCCAAACAACUGCUGAACUAAGUACUGUCAAAACCAGGCCCUCAGAAAUCACCCAAACCUGGAAACAUUUAAGUGAGGUUUUGAAACUGUUGGGGAUUAUGCUGAUGUUUAUGGGGUUUUUUUGUUUGUUUAUUUGCUUCCUUGCUUUGUUUUGUUGUUGUUUUGUUCUGUUGCAUUUUUAGAUUCUAUAUUUCACCUCGUUUGUGUUUGCUUUUCUCUGUGUUAGAAAGAGUUUAUUUACAUGAUAUUUGAAAGCACUUAUUGUUAGAGAAUUAAAGCCAUACUUUUCAUGUAUUCAAGUGACUGCAGGAACAGAAGCUCUAAGAAAAGUGGUGGUCAUUGUGAAAGCUGUCAGCACUGGGGGUAUGAUCUGGGACUCAACAGGACAUGCAUCAGUCAUACAGAGGACUGCUGAUACAGCAGUCAUGAAGAACAGGCAUUUUGACACUCACAUACUGCAGGCAUUAAGGAUCAGAUAUUUGAAGUGUGAAGAUGAUUGGCAACAAUCAUUUGUACCUGACACCUCAAAAGGAUCAAAUGUGAGGGGUAAGGACAUGCAGAAUAAAGGCUAAAUUUAUCACACUUCAACUGACUGCUGCAGGAUGGAUUGGUCUUCUCAGUGGAGAAGAGCCGUGGGGAUGCUGAGUCAUAAACUUGCCUGCAUAAUUAGAAGGGUGAAACAAGUUUGUUGAGUGACUCAAUUUGCAAUUUGAUACCAGACUCAUUCCCACAUGCACAUGCACCUGUAUUUUGGAACAGUAAGGGCAGGUAAUUACAGUUUGAAUCAUUUCAGUGGCACCCAUGGAAUUUCUCCUUCAGAAACACUCUUCUGCUCAAUUUCUGUUCCAUAAUCCCUGGCGUCCAGAUGAGCACUUACUAUGAAACUCCAGAGAAAUACAUCUGUGUUUUCCUUUACAGCUAAAACCAAUCAACAAUAGUUUUCUUGCUGAUCCUUAAGUAGAGCUUAGAGUGGUAUCUUAGGUUUAGAAAAGAAGAUGAAUCUUCUG